This 840-nucleotide long non-coding RNA is filed under the name Mus spicilegus (steppe mouse). RNAcentral's name for it is "lncRNA (ENSMSIG00000000822.1)". The record is from RNAcentral. Lineage: Eukaryota; Metazoa; Chordata; Mammalia; Rodentia; Muridae.
AAGGGAGAAGGGGCUACUUAGGGCCUCAGAGGUCACAAAGUCCCUGCAUGAUUGACAGGACCUGCUGUGGUGGGAAGAGGUAGGAGUAGGAUAAAGGAGGGGGCUUGUGCUCUUGGUGGGAGUGGAAUUCGGGGACCCAAGCUUACUGGUGAUGCGGGUCCCACGUGACCAAGAGAGCUGACGUGGGCAAAGGUACUUAAAGCCUUACGGCCAUCCCUGCCAUCUUCCUCCGAGUACCAACGCUAUUAAAGCUGCGGUCAGUCUAGCGAGACAGAGAGAAUUCCCUCAGAACUGGCCAGCCCCCUGCCUUUCUAGGGCGCUAGCAAAUGGGUGUGCCAGCUUCUGUGGGAGAGAUGGAGCAUUUGGAGCUGUACGGGCUUCACAGGCUGGGGGACCGUGAGAGAAUCUGGUAUUAGACCGCCAUGCUAACUGCCAAGCUGCUCUCCAGACACCUGCGGCCCACCAGCCCUUCACCCUGGUCCUUUUGGCCCUGAAAAGGGAAUUCGGGUUCUUAGUCUGCCCCUGCAGUCUGUAUUCCUGCCCUUCAGCCCGUCCUCAGCAGGAAACUCUGGCCUAAUUCGAGGAAGGAUACAGAGCUCUGAAUUCUUGCAGACACCUUUGUCCUGGAGUGUCCUUUUUGGUGCAGGGAAGGGGGCGUGUGGAACUGUCUUUAUCCGUCUACCUUGAGACUCUGCAACUGCGAGCACAGUGGAAAUUGUUCCUGAUCCCAGGAAGCUGGUAUGUACAUGAGCGCUGUCUGAGGACAUUUGAAUGGGGUUCAGGAUAUUAUAGGUGAAUCUAAAAUGUCCCCCUCUCUGCCAGGCUUCCAUAUUAUCCCCU